CACAGAGAGCUUGCUCUCGGGUGACGAGCGGCGGACGGGUGAGUAAUGUCUGGGAAACUGCCUGAUGGAGGGGGAUAACUACUGGAAACGGUAGCUAAUACCGCAUAACGUCGCAAGACCAAAGAGGGGGACCUUCGGGCCUCUUGCCAUCAGAUGUGCCCAGAUGGGAUUAGCUAGUAGGUGGGGUAAUGGCUCACCUAGGCGACGAUCCCUAGCUGGUCUGAGAGGAUGACCAGCCACACUGGAACUGAGACACGGUCCAGACUCCUACGGGAGGCAGCAGUGGGGAAUAUUGCACAAUGGGCGCAAGCCUGAUGCAGCCAUGCCGCGUGUAUGAAGAAGGCCUUCGGGUUGUAAAGUACUUUCAGCGAGGAGGAAGGCAUUGUGGUUAAUAACCACAGUGAUUGACGUUACUCGCAGAAGAAGCACCGGCUAACUCCGUGCCAGCAGCCGCGGUAAUACGGAGGGUGCAAGCGUUAAUCGGAAUUACUGGGCGUAAAGCGCACGCAGGCGGUCUGUCAAGUCGGAUGUGAAAUCCCCGGGCUCAACCUGGGAACUGCAUUCGAAACUGGCAGGCUAGAGUCUUGUAGAGGGGGGUAGAAUUCCAGGUGUAGCGGUGAAAUGCGUAGAGAUCUGGAGGAAUACCGGUGGCGAAGGCGGCCCCCUGGACAAAGACUGACGCUCAGGUGCGAAAGCGUGGGAGCAAACAGGAUUAGAUACCCUGGUAGUCCACGCCGUAAACGAUGUCGACUUGGAGGUUGUUCCCUUGAGGAGUGGCUUCCGGAGCUAACGCGUUAAGUCGACCGCCUGGGGAGUACGGCCGCAGGUUAAAACUCAAAUGAAUUGACGGGGGCCCGCACAAGCGGUGGAGCAUGUGGUUUAAUUCGAUGCAACGCGAAGAACCUUACCUACUCUUGACAUCCAGAGAACUU
This 932-nucleotide ribosomal RNA is filed under the name Enterobacter sp. UASWS1243. RNAcentral's name for it is "bacterial SSU rRNA". It matches the Rfam family "Bacterial small subunit ribosomal RNA", at positions 70 to 998 of the family's 1533-position model. Lineage: Bacteria; Pseudomonadati; Pseudomonadota; Gammaproteobacteria; Enterobacterales; Enterobacteriaceae. The record is from RNAcentral.